UAUCACGUCAGGAGGAGGCAAAGGUUUCUGGGGGUGGGGGGGGGGGAUAAGGCGCGUGGGAGAAGAGAAGAAAUCCUUUGAUUGAGGCGAAAAGGAUCUGACUCAUGAACAAGUGGGGGUGGGGGAGUUCUAGAGUAUUCGCCAUAAAUAGAAUGAAUUCCUCCUCAAGUCUCCUGCUGGUUCACCUUUCCUUACUCCAAUGGAUAGUUUUCUUUCUUUCUUUCUUUUUCUUUCUUUUUUUUUUUUCUCUUAGUGCAAAGUAUUUGUUCUCAGCCCAACUUCUUCCUAUAAAGUGAUAUGUAACUUCAACUUGGGCCAAAUUUAUCUCAUUUCAGGUCACUCUCCUUGCACCAGCUCCCAGCUUCUGACACCACAUACAUUCCUCACGUGACAGCCAGACUCGAGCCUGAGCUGAGUGGGGCACUUGCCAAUGUCUCAAACUCUCUGUUGAGAAAGUAGUGAGCAGGACCUAGGAUCACUGUUUCUUUGACUGAGAAAUGAGGAUUCCGAACCCAGACUGCAUUUUAAUGGAUUUGAGAUUAGCCAGAGGGAUUCCCCUCCUCCACCCCUUCCGAGAUUAAUAAUUGACCCAUUCUCCCGUGCACAUUUUUUAAAUGCUAAAGCUGUUUGUGUUCACUCAAGGCAAGAAAAAAAAAAAUUCAGGUGACCAGCUGUUGCAGCCCUGGAAUCAGUGACCUUGGUUGGCAGUGGUCUCUGAGACGUGGCCUCUCACCAGCACAGCCACAGAACUCCCAGUCAGCCUCCUCCCACCACCCCACAGCCUUUGGAAGGUACCUGCUGCAGCCCUGCCCUCCAUGUCUCCCACACCAGCAGCCCAGAAGAAGCCCUAUCCACACAUAUCCCUUCCAUUAACAGAAUGAAAUUCCAGAUCCUGUUUUGGUCAUAAAGAGAAAUUACAUGAAGGUAAUGGGUGAUUUUUUUUAAAUUUUCUUUCUUUUAUUUUAUUUAUUCCCUUUUGUUGCCCUUGUUGUUUUUUUUUAAUUGUUGUAGUUAUUAUUGUUGUUGUUAUUGAUGUCGUUGUUGGAUAGGACAGAGAGAAAUGGAGAGAGGAGGGGAAGACAGAGAGGGGGAGAGAAAGAUAGACACCUGCAGACCUGCUUCACUGCCUGUGAAGUGACUCCCCUUCAGGUGGGGAGCUGGGGGCUCGA
Molecule: long non-coding RNA, 1169 nt
Organism: Erinaceus europaeus (western European hedgehog)
Lineage: Eukaryota; Metazoa; Chordata; Mammalia; Eulipotyphla; Erinaceidae
Exons: 3
Source: RefSeq, a predicted model, not a curated record